This 1364-nucleotide ribosomal RNA is filed under the name uncultured organism. RNAcentral describes it as "16S ribosomal RNA". It matches the Rfam family "Bacterial small subunit ribosomal RNA", at positions 93 to 1470 of the family's 1533-position model. The record is from RNAcentral.
UAGUGGCGGACGGGGUGACUAAUGCGUGAUCAACCUGCCCUGUCAUAAGGGGACAACACUUGGAAACGACUGCUAAUACCGCAUAAUGUAUUCGGAAGGUAUCUUCUGAAUACCAAAGGAGAAAUCCGCUGAGGGAUGGCCUCACGUCUGAUUAUGUACCUGGCGAGGUAACGGCUCACCAAGACUGCAAUCAGUAGCCGGACUGAUAUGUUGAACGGCCCCAUUGCGACUGAGAUACGGACCAGACUCCUACGGGAGGCAUCAGUGGGAGAAUGAUUGGGCAAUGGGAGAAAGCCUGACCCAGCAACGCCGCGUGAAGGAAAAACGUCUUCGGGUUGUAAACUUCUUUUAAUAGGGACGAAUAACUGACGGUACCUCUUGAAUAAGCCACGGCUAACUACAUGCCAGCAUCCGCGCUAAUACAUAUGUGGCGAGCGUUAUCCAGAUUUACUGGGUGUAAAGGCCGCGGAGGCGGGAAUGCAAGUCUCAUGUGAAAUCCACGGGCUUAACCCUUGAACUGCAUUUGAAACUGUAUUGCUUGAGUGUCGGAGAGGUUGACGGAAUUCCUAGUGUAACGAUGAAAUGCUUACAUAUUAGGAUGAACACCAAUGUCGAACGGGGUCAUCUGCACGAUUACUGACGCUGAGGCGCGAAAGCGUGUGGAGCAAACAGGAUUUAGAUACUCUGGUAGUCCACGCAGUAAACGAUGAAUACUAGGUGUGGGGGGACUGACCCCCUCCGUGCCGCAGUUAACACAAUAAGUAUUCCACCUGGGGAGUACGACCGCAAGGCUGAAACUCAAAGGAAUUGACGGGGUCCCGCUCAAGCAGUGGAUUAUGUGGUUUAAUUGGAAGCAACUCGAAGAACCUUAACAGGGCUUGACAUCCAACUAAAGAAGCAGAGAUGCAUUAGGUGCCCUUCGGGGAAAGUUGAGACAGGUGGUGCAUGGUUGUCGUCAGCUAGUGUGGUGAGAUGUUGGGUUAAGUUCCUCAACGAGCGCAACCCCUAUUUUUAGUUGCUACGCAAGAGCACUAUAUCGAGACUGCCGUUGACAAAACGGAGGAAGGUGGGGAUGACGUCAAAUCAUCAUGCCCCUUAUGUUCUGGGCUACACUCGUAAUACAAUGGCAUUUAACAGAGGGAAGCAAAACCGCGAGGUGGAGCAAAUCCCUAAAAGGUGUCUCAGUUCGGAUAUCAGGAUGCAAUUCGCCUGCAUGAAGUCGGAAUUGAUAGUAAUCGCGGAUCAGCAUGCUGCGGUGAAUACGUUCCCGGGCCUUGUACACACCUCCCGUCACACCAUGAGAGUCGGGAACACCCGAAGUCCGUAGAUUAACCGCAAGGAGGGCGCGCCCGAAGGUGGGUUCG